GCUUGGGCUCUUUGCUGACGAGUGGCGGACGGGUGAGUAAUGUCUGGGAAACUGCCUGAUGGAGGGGGAUAACUACUGGAAACGGUAGCUAAUACCGCAUAACGUCGCAAGACCAAAGAGGGGGACCUUCGGGCCUCUUGCCAUCGGAUGUGCCCAGAUGGGAUUAGCUUGUUGGUGGGGUAACGGCUCACCAAGGCGACGAUCCCUAGCUGGUCUGAGAGGAUGACCAGCCACACUGGAACUGAGACACGGUCCAGACUCCUACGGGAGGCAGCAGUGGGGAAUAUUGCACAAUGGGCGCAAGCCUGAUGCAGCCAUGCCGCGUGUAUGAAGAAGGCCUUCGGGUUGUAAAGUACUUUCAGCGGGGAGGAAGGGAGUAAAGUUAAUACCUUUGCUCAUUGACGUUACCCGCAGAAGAAGCACCGGCUAACUCCGUGCCAGCAGCCGCGGUAAUACGGAGGGUGCAAGCGUAAUCGGAAUUACUGGGCGUAAAGCGCACGCAGGCGGUUUGUUAAGUCAGAUGU
This 524-nucleotide ribosomal RNA is filed under the name Escherichia coli. Its description in RNAcentral is "bacterial SSU rRNA". It matches the Rfam family "Bacterial small subunit ribosomal RNA", at positions 77 to 595 of the family's 1533-position model. The record is from RNAcentral. Lineage: Bacteria; Pseudomonadati; Pseudomonadota; Gammaproteobacteria; Enterobacterales; Enterobacteriaceae.